AAAACUUUCAACAACGGAUCUCUUGGUUCCAGCAUCGAUGAAGAACGCAGCGAAAUGCGAUAAGUAAUGUGAAUUGCAGAAUUCAGUGAAUCAUCGAAUCUUUGAACGUACAUUGCGCCCCUCGGUAUUCCGGGGGGCAUGCCUGUUCGAGCGUCAUU
Molecule: ribosomal RNA, 158 nt
Filed under: Usnea lambii
Lineage: Eukaryota; Fungi; Ascomycota; Lecanoromycetes; Lecanorales; Parmeliaceae
Description: 5.8S ribosomal RNA
Rfam family: 5.8S ribosomal RNA
About the family: 5.8S ribosomal RNA (5.8S rRNA) is a component of the large subunit of the eukaryotic ribosome. It is transcribed by RNA polymerase I as part of the 45S precursor that also contains 18S and 28S rRNA.
Source: RNAcentral